Long non-coding RNA from Felis catus (domestic cat), 1192 nucleotides. RefSeq lists it as uncharacterized. The record is from RefSeq and is a predicted model, not a curated record. The transcript is spliced from 2 exons. NCBI's taxonomy places the organism in Eukaryota, Metazoa, Chordata, Mammalia, Carnivora, Felidae.
ACAGAGACCCCAAUAUAAUUGUUUAGAAAUUUCCCAUCUGUAAGUCUCUAUGUCUGUUGAAAAUAAUAGAGAUUUAUUGUUUGAGAUCAGGUUUCCCCUAAUGCAGCAUGGUACACUGUUGGAGAAGAUUGGUAGGUUUUGCAAUUCAUAACAGUGUUCAUCUUUCUAGAAGCCUGAGGGUGUUGACAAUGGAAAGUUUUUCAGGGUGACUAAUGCUUUCUAUGAAUAAACUAGAUCCUUAAGUUGUCCUCUGAAGGCCUGAAAUCUUAACCCAAACCUCUUUUAGGAAAAUUAAGGUUUUCUUAAGGCCCACGCGGACACGUUGUUCUUAAAGACAGAUCUGAGAUCCAGAUUCCGUUAAAAUAUAUUGGGAAACUUCUACUUGCUGCGUCCCUUCCUAGAGGCUUUCCCGUCCCUCCUGUCACAGAGACAUCACUGCCAUGAUCUCCCCCAAUCAGAUGGUUAUGUUGACAUGCCCUUCCCCUGUUGCGCACUGAGACAUAUCACCCAUCGGCUACGGUUGUCGCGCUCUCUCUACCUAUCUGAAAAAUCACAGAGGACUUUUGCUGCCCCAGACCUCAGCAGGGAAAGAUCAACCCCUUCCUGUUGGACAGCCAUUUCAACCAGUGAAGCCACUUGAGUCGGGUGGAUCGUACUGAGAUUUCUCAGGGCCGAGUCUUUGGGAGUUGGAAGGCAACAGACACAAGAGUUCAAGAGUACAAUUUUAAUUUGAAGACAAAAAAAAAAGCCCCCCGAAACAAGCAAACAAACAAAAAAACCCCACCUCUGCAUGCUGAGGUGUGCCGUGCAACUGUUUUCCUAAGAAACACGUUUGGAGAGAGAGCCUGGGUUUUCUUCCAGACAGAGCUGAGUUCAAGUCUUCCGUGUCUCACACGCUAGAAGGUCGACCUCACGGUAUGUAACCUCCGAGCUGCAGCGUACUCACCUGGUUAGAUUGCUGCCCCUUUGGGAGUCACGAGUUACAGCGCGACAGGGUGCACAGAACAGCCUUCCCGGUGCUUGCAACACGUUUCCGCUCCAGGAACAUUGUCACCUUCCCUGUUACCUUUGUAAAAACCAUUACAAUUAGAAAAGAAAUACAGGAGAGAAAAACAAUCUGUGUACCUGACGUCACCACUAUAGCUAUCACCGUAACUGUAUAUUUACAAUAAACGUAUAUGUUUAUCUCCCA